UAAAUGGCGACUGAAUAUUUAUUAAUGGAAAAUAUUAGAAGAUAUAGAUAUUUAUGAAAAUCAGGUUCAGGUGCUAAUAUUUUGAAUAGCAAGCAACUCAAAUUUAUUGAGGAUUAUUAUUGGCUAAAAGAAAAUGUUGAAGAUAUUUGUAAUAAUGCAGAGGCAAGUUUUAGUUUGGAUCAAAUAUCUUCACAUGAUUAUGAACAAAAUAUCCAAGAUGUGGUGAAUGUACAAACAUCAUCACAGGAUUAUGAACAAAAUAUCCAAGAUGUGGUGAAUGUACAAACAUCAUCACAGGAUUACGAGUUAAAUACACAUGAUCUUUUAACUGAUAUUGUUAAUCCUACUGAUAUAUAUGAGAAAGAAAUUUUAGAGUUAGACAAUUCUUUUAAUAAAGAAAAUAUUAAUCCAUGUAGCUCAAAGAGGAAGAAUUUAGAUACUCCUAAAGCUAAAAAAUCUAAGAAGUAUGAAGAUGAAAAAAUGGAGAUAUUUAGGGGUUUUGCUGCCAAACAUACAUCCCAAGGAGAUUAUCCUCAUAAUAUUAUGGGUUUUUUCAAAUCAUAUCAAGCUCAAUUCAAUAUUAUGACUGAUAAAGAAAUUUUUGAUUUUAAAUUAAAAUUUAUAACAAUGUUGGUUU
This is a long non-coding RNA of Gordionus sp. m RMFG-2023, 637 nucleotides long. RefSeq lists it as uncharacterized. The record is from RefSeq and is a predicted model, not a curated record. The transcript is spliced from 7 exons. Lineage: Eukaryota; Metazoa; Nematomorpha; Gordioida; Chordodea; Parachordodidae.